UUACACAUGCAAGUCGAACGCGAAAGCGGGGCAACCCGCAAGUAGAGUGGCGAACGGGUGAGUAAUACAUCGGAACAUUUCCAGUAGCGGGGGAUAACCUGUCGAAAGAUAGGCUAAUACCGCAUACGACCUACGAGUGAAAGCGGAGGACCGCAAGGCUUCGCACUAUUGGAGUGGCCGAUGUCGGAUUAGCUAGUUGGCGGGGUAAAAGCCCACCAAGGCGACGAUCCGUAGCUGGUCUGAGAGGACGAUCAGCCACACUGGAACUGAGACACGGUCCAGACUCCUACGGGAGGCAGCAGUGGGGAAUUUUGGACAAUGGGCGCAAGCCUGAUCCAGCCAUGCCGCGUGAGUGAAGAAGGCCUUCGGGUUGUAAAGCUCUUUCGGCGGGGACGAAAUGGUCCGUGCUAAUACCAUGGACUGAUGACGGUACCCGAAGAAGAAGCACCGGCUAACUACGUGCCAGCAGCCGCGGUAAUACGUAGGGUGCAGGCGUUAAUCGGAAUUACUGGGCGUAAAGCGUGCGCAGGCGGUUUGCUAAGACAGGUGUGAAAUCCCCGGGCUUAACCUGGGAACUGCGCUUGUAACUGGCAAGCUAGAGUGUGGCAGAGGGGGGUGGAAUUCCAAGUGUAGCAGUGAAAUGCGUAGAUAUUUGGAGGAACACCGAUGGCGAAGGCAGCCCCCUGGGCUAACACUGACGCUCAUGCACGAAAGCGUGGGGAGCAAACAGGAUUAGAUACCCUGGUAGUCCACGCCCUAAACUAUGUCAACUGGUUGUCGGGGAAGCAAUUCCUUGGUAACGAAGCUAACGCGUGAAGUUGACCGCCUGGGGAGUACGGCCGCAAGGUAAAACUUAAAG
This 859-nucleotide ribosomal RNA is filed under the name uncultured bacterium. RNAcentral's name for it is "bacterial SSU rRNA". It matches the Rfam family "Bacterial small subunit ribosomal RNA", at positions 49 to 906 of the family's 1533-position model. The record is from RNAcentral.